This 381-nucleotide ribosomal RNA is filed under the name uncultured eukaryote. RNAcentral's name for it is "partial 18S ribosomal RNA". It matches the Rfam family "Eukaryotic small subunit ribosomal RNA", at positions 592 to 976 of the family's 1831-position model. The record is from RNAcentral.
CAAUAGCGUAUAUUAAAGCUGUUGCGGUUAAAAAGCUCGUAGUUGGAUUUCCGUCAAGGACAACUGGUCCGCCCUCCGGGUGAGCACAUAGUUUGGUCUUGACAUCUUGCUGGAAGCUGUUGCUGCACUUGGCUGUGUGGCGCAGUGUUCAGCACUUUCACUUUGAGGAAAUUGGAGUGUUUCAAGCAGGCACAUGCCUUUGGACACAGUAGCAUGGAAUAAUUAGAUUGGGCUUUUGCUCCAAUUUGUCGGUUUCUGGAGCUGAGGUGAGUAUUAAUGGGGAUUGUUGGGGGCAUCCGAAUUUAGCCGUCAGAGGUGAAAUUCUUGGAUCUGCUAAAGACGGACAACUGCGAAAGCGUUUGCCCAGGAUGUUUUCAUUGA